Molecule: ribosomal RNA, 504 nt
Filed under: uncultured bacterium
Lineage: Bacteria
Description: partial 16S ribosomal RNA
Rfam family: Bacterial small subunit ribosomal RNA
Source: RNAcentral
AUUGAACGCUGGCGGCAGGCCUAACACAUGCAAGUCGGACGGUAGCACAGAGAGCUUGCUCUCGGGUGACGAGUGGCGGACGGGUGAGUAAUGUCUGGGGAUCUGCCCGAUAGAGGGGGAUAACCACUGGAAACGGUGGCUAAUACCGCAUAACGUCGCAAGACCAAAGAGGGGGACCUUCGGGCCUCUCACUAUCGGAUGAACCCAGAUGGGAUUAGCUAGUAGGCGGGGUAACGGCGCACCUAGGCGACGAUCCCUAGCUGGUCUGAGAGGAGGACCAGCCAAAGUGGAACUGAGACACGGUCCAGACUCCUACGGGAGGCAGCAGUGGGGAAUAUUGCACAAUGGGCGCAAGCCUGAUGCAGCCAUGCCGCGUGUAUGAAGAAGGCCUUCGGGUUGUAAAGUACUUUCAGCGGGGAGGAAGGCGAUGUGGUUAAUAACCGCGUCGAUUGACGUUACCCGCAGAAGAAGCACCGGCUAACUCCGUGCCAGCAGCCGCCGCGG